Non-coding RNA from Lentithecium fluviatile CBS 122367, 81 nucleotides. NCBI's taxonomy places the organism in Eukaryota, Fungi, Ascomycota, Dothideomycetes, Pleosporales, Lentitheciaceae. The record is from the annotation of a GenBank genome assembly.
GGUCGGUUAGCUCAGUUGGUUAGAGCGUGGUGCUAAUAACCCCAAACGCCAAGGUCGCGGGUUCGACCCCCGUACUGACCA